Molecule: non-coding RNA, 100 nt
Organism: Podospora fimiseda
Lineage: Eukaryota; Fungi; Ascomycota; Sordariomycetes; Sordariales; Podosporaceae
Source: the annotation of a GenBank genome assembly
GCCCGCAUGGCCUAAUGGCUAUGGUGUCCCACUCGUACCACAACAACCAUCUUCGAUACGUUUAAUGGGGUGAUUCCCGGUUCAAUUCCGGGUGUGGACA